Long non-coding RNA from Piliocolobus tephrosceles (Ugandan red Colobus), 2934 nucleotides. Lineage: Eukaryota; Metazoa; Chordata; Mammalia; Primates; Cercopithecidae. The record is from Ensembl.
AAGAAAGAGAAGCAUAAAAAAAAUGACAAAUUUGUUACUUAAAGCACAUAGAUUUUUAUUUUUUUUUAUUUUUGUAUUUUAAACAGAUUUUAAAAUUGUUAUUUGAACAUCAUACAUACGCGUACGUAUAAUACGUGUUUAUAUACAUACACAUAUAAGUAUAUAUAUAUAUGACAUAUACAGUGCCUUUAUUUAUUUUUUCUUAUAAGUACGGGUAAAUAUUAAAAGAUUACAUAAUUAUUUGCUAUAUUUUUACGUUGUGCUUCACGUAUACAGUAUACAUACACGUCAGAUCCGUACAUACGUACAUACAUAUAUAGAUUAUACAUAUAUACGUUGAUUUAACUAUUACAAAAAUGAUUAACACAAACAAAACUGCCGUAGCAUCCCACGAAAACAAGAACAAUAACAACAGUUCUUACAGUACUAAAACCUUAUGGGUAGGUGAAUUAGAUAAAAUAAAAGAAGUAGUGGAUGAAAACUAUAUUUUGUAUUGUAUGUUUUAUGAAUUUGCUAAUGAUAUAAUUAAAAUAAAAUUAUGUAAAGAAAAGAAUACUCAAAAAAGUUCUUACGCUUUUAUUGAAUUUACAAAUUAUGACAUAGCCAAAUAUUGUUUUGAUCAAUUAAAUGGAAAGUGGAUACCUGGUAAAAUUCACAAGUUUAAAUUAAACUGGGCAAAAUAUAAUAUGUCUGAUAAUGUUAACAGUAAUGAUAAAAAUUUGGAUGUCGAAUUAGAUGAUAAAGGAACCUAUUCUAUUUAUGUAGGUAACUUACCAAAAAAUACAGCUAAAGAAGAAAUAGAAAAUUUAUUUACAAAUUUUUAUAAUAGUAUUUGUUUUGUUAAAAUGAUAAAAAAUACACAAAAAAAUCAAAAUAAAAUUUAUUGUUUUAUUCAUUUUUUUAAUUACGAUGAAUGUAUUAAAGCAUUGACACAAAUGGAUGGUUAUAUUUUUAAAGGAAAUAAAAUUAAAGUAAGUAAAUCAAAUGGUAUAAAAGUAAUGAAUUCAGAUGCAAAUAAUUAUUAUAACACAAAUAAAAAUUAUGAUAACUAUUCUAAUAGUAUAAAAAUUAUGAAUAUAAAUAAUUAUAAUCAUAAUGCAUAUACACAAAGAAACUACACAACACAUGGAUAUACCCCUAAUAGUUAUAACCCAAAUAGUUAUAACCCAAAUAGCUAUAGUCCAAAUAAUUAUAAUCAUAACAGUUAUAAUCCUAAUAGUUAUAACCUUAAUGGAUAUAAUCCUAACGGUUAUAACCCAAAUGGAUACAAUCCCAAUGGAUAUAGCCCAAAUGGAUAUAAUCCUAACGAAUAUAAUUCUAAUGGUUAUGGUAUAAAUAUGUAUAAUCAAAAUAGAUACAAUGUAAAUAAUAAUACUAACACUAAUGCAAACACAAAUACUGCUACUAAUGGUACAAAUUCAAAUGGUACAAAUGGAAGUGCAAGUACAAAUGGCAUUAGUAAUACUAAUAAUAAUAAUAAUGUUGGUUUAAAAAAUUUAACGGAUAAUGAAGAAGAAAAUGGUAAUGUCAGUGUUAAUGAUGUUAAUAAAAAUAUAUAUUAUUAUUAUAAUAAUGUAAACACAGAUAUGAAUAACCCUUAUGAUAUAAAUUAUUAUGAUUCUCUAAAUUCAAAUGUAAGUUCAUACCCAACAUUUAAUGCUACAGCUCCUGCAACAACUACUACUACUAAUAUGCCAUAUAAUACUAAUAAUUUUUCAAAUUCAUUAAAUCAGUUAAAUUAUUACACUACUACCCCUCUGGCACAAAUGAGUAAUAAUUUUCAAAAUAAAGUAGGUACUCGUAGUAGUUACAGUGGAAACAUGAGUAUAAUGAACAGUUACGUGUGUACUAGUAAUAACAGCAUUGGUAAUGGUAAUAUUAAUAUUGAUAGUGGUAGUAUUAGUGCCGAGAAUGGUAGUAUUAGUGUUGUUAAUGAUUCUAGUGGUAAUGGAAAUAGUAACAAGGAAAAUAAUAAAUAUAAUAACGGUGACAUGUAUUAUUCAAAUAAUUAUGUUAAUUCAGAAAAGGAAACAGAAUAUAUUAAUAGUAACUACCAUAAAACAAAAGAUAUAAAUAGUGCUGAGGGGGAAAAUAACACAAAUGGAUAUAUAGAUUGUAACGGAGAUGGAAACGUGCUUGAAGAACAAGAUAAUAAUAUUGACAUUAAUUAUAGAAAUAAUAAUUUACAUAUACCUAAAGAUGAAAAUGUUAAUAGUACAUCUAGUACUACUACUACUACAACAAUUAGUAGAGGUAGUAGUAGUAAUGCUAAUGUUACUAGUAGUAAUAAUACAGAACGAGAUAAUGUAAACACAAAAGGUGUAAACAAAUUUAAUAAUUCAAAUGAUGCAGACUAUUACAAUUAUACACAUUCGAACAAUGAAUAUGGCACUGAUACUGUUACAACUGAAACUUAUAACAACAAUAACUCCAAUGAAAUGAACAACGAUGACAAUAAGAAUUGUUAUAAUGAUGGUAUAAGAAAUGAUAAUCCAAAUAACGACAUAAAUAACGGCAUAAAUAACGACAUAAAUAACGGCAUAAAUAACGACAUAAAUAACUAUGAUAUAGGUAAUAAAAAAGAAUCCUCAAAUGAUUAUUAUUAUGAAAAUAAUAAUGAUACUAAUAGUAAUAAUGGUAAAAAUAAAAACAUGUACCAUAAUAAUUUAAAUAUUAAAGCUAAGGAUAGUAGUACUACCUGUAAUGAUGUAACAAAUGAUAACAAUAAACACAGUGACCAAAUUGACAAUAACCUUACGGAUAAUAAUAAUAAUAAUAAUAAUACUAAUGAUAAAAACAUUAAUAGUGAUAACAAUAAAAAUAUUAAAAAUAAAAACAAUGAAAACUGAUCAUUUUUAAUGUUAAAGAGGAAUUCGGAAACAAUAACGCAUAGUAAGUGUAAUGUAUAGAUAUACAGUUGACGUUUAUACAAAC